GGAAGACAUGGGCAGUGAGAGGUAGAGAGAUAAGAAGAAUGGUGGAAGACAUGGGCAGUGAGAGGUAGAGAGAGAUAAGAAGAAUGGUGGAAGACAUGGGCAGUGAGAGGUAGAGAGAGAUAAGAAGAAUGGUGGAAGACAUGGGCAGUGAGAGGUAGAGAGAGAAAAAGAAUAGUGGAAGACAUGGGCAGUGAGAGGUAGAGAGAGAAAAAUAAUAGUGGAAGACAUGGGCAGUGAGAGGUAGAGAGAGAAAAAUAAUAGUGGAAGACAUGGGCAGUGAGAGGUAGAGAGAGAAAAAUAAUAGUGGAAGACAUGGGCAGUGAGAGGUAGAGAGAUAAGAAGAAUGGUGGAAGACAUGGGCAGUGAGAGGUAGAGAGAGAUAAGAAGAAUGGUGGAAGACAUGGGCAGUGAGAGGUAGAGAGAGAAAAAUAAUAGUGGAAGACAUGGGCAGUGAGAGGUAGAGAGACAAGAAGAAUGGUGGAAGACAUGGGCAGUGAGAGGUAGAGAGAGAAAAAGAAUAGUGGAAGACAUGGGCAGUGAGAGGUAGAGAGAGAAAAAUAAUAGUGGAAGACAUGGGCAGUGAGAGGUAGAGAGAGAAAAAGAAUAGUGGAAGACAUGGGCAGUGAGAGGUAGAGAGAGAAAAAUAAUAGUGGAAGACAUGGGCAGUGAGAGGUAGAGAGAGAAAAAUAAUAGUGGAAGACAUGGGCAGUGAGAGGUAGAGAGAGAAAAAUAAUAGUGGAAGACAUGGGCAGUGAGAGGUAGAGAGAGAAAAAGAAUAGUGGAAGACAUGGGCAGUGAGAGGUAGAGAGAGAAAAAUAAUAGUGGAAGACAUGGGCAGUGAGAGGUAGAGAGAGAAAAAUAAUAGUGGAAGACAUGGGCAGUGAGAGGUAGAGAGAUAAGAAGAAUGGUGGAAGACAUGGGCAGUGAGAGGUAGAGAGAUAAGAAGAAUGGUGGAAGACAUGGGCAGUGAGAGGUAGAGAGAGAAAAAGAAUAGUGGAAGACAUGGGCAGUGAGAGGUAGAGAGAUAAGAAGAAUGGUGGAAGACAUGGGCAGUGAGAGGUAGAGAGAUAAGAAGAAUGGUGGAAGACAUGGGCAGUGAGAGGUAGAGAGAGAAAAAGAAUAGUGGAAGACAUGGGCAGUGAGAGGUAGAGAGAGAUAAGAAGAAUGGUGGAAGACAUGGGCAGUGAGAGGUAGAGAGAGAUAAGAAGAAUGGUGGAAGACAUGGGCAGUGAGAGGUAGAGAGAGAAAAAUAAUAGUGGAAGACAUGGGCAGUGAGAGGUAGAGAGAGAAAAAUAAUAGUGGAAGACAUGGGCAGUGAGAGGUAGAGAGAGAAAAAUAAUAGUGGAAGACAUGGGCAGUGAGAGGUAGAGAGAGAAAAAUAAUAGUGGAAGACAUGGGCAGUGAGAGGUAGAGAGAGAAAAAUAAUAGUGGAAGACAUGGGCAGUGAGAGGUAGAGAGAGAAAAAUAAUAGUGGAUGACAUGGGCAGUGAGAGGUAGAGAGAGAAAAAUAAUAGUGGAAGACAUGGGCAGUGAGAGGUAGAGAGAGAAAAAUAAUAGUGGAAGACAUGGGCAGUGAGAGGUAGGGAGAGAGAGGAAGAAUGGUGGAAGACU
Long non-coding RNA from Oncorhynchus keta (chum salmon), 1611 nucleotides. RefSeq lists it as uncharacterized. The transcript has 6 exons. Lineage: Eukaryota; Metazoa; Chordata; Actinopteri; Salmoniformes; Salmonidae. The record is from RefSeq and is a predicted model, not a curated record.